RNAcentral lists this unclassified non-coding RNA (255 nucleotides) under Hevea brasiliensis (rubber tree). Lineage: Eukaryota; Viridiplantae; Streptophyta; Magnoliopsida; Malpighiales; Euphorbiaceae. The record is from RNAcentral.
GCUCCGGUUGCCCAAAUCGACUUCAACAAUAGUAGGGGCUCUAGAACUUGCUUCACCAACAGAUUGAUGCAUAAGCUGAGCAGAACUGGCAGAUACCCUCGGCGACGUAAUUCCGCUCAAUCUCAGCACCGGAAGACCCACCCGUUUGGAACGCAAAGAUAUGGCGUUAGGGUUUUUGAAGCGUAGAUAGAAAUCGUGCAAAGUUUUAGGCUUGGAUAUGGAAGAAUUGGCAGCGGAGAGAGAAGGCGAUAGUGC